CUGGGGACAGGAGGAAAAAGGACAGAUCAUACAUCCAUUACAUACUGCAAUACUCAAAGAAUAAUCUCCCAAAUCCUUCACUUUGAGUGCCAUUUUCUGCUCCUUAGCUCUGAGCUCUGCUCUGUUACAGGUCUUUAGGAGACAAAUGUUUUCCACUACCUUCUCUCCUGUCUGUCUCUCAGCCUCACUUAGCACCUGCUGAAUGGGGACACACCUGAGUCUCCUGCUUUUUUUAAUGGCAAGAUCUGUAGCAGAUGGGACUUUCCCCCAGACAGCAACUACUACCAGCACUGCACUGCUCACAACACCAGAAGUCCCAGGCUUCCGGGAAGACAAGACCCCUUGAAGAACUUUUCUGAAGAGCCUGAAAUCUCUGUUAUCAGAGAAUUAAACAGAGGUGCUGGCUGGAGCACAGCUUCAAGGAAAAAAGCUGGACCUGAGAGGUAAAAAGGCCUCACUGGUGGCAGGCAGAAGACUUGGAAAGCAGAAUUCCAAUCAAGGUUUCUCACCUGGGCAAUCCCCUAGCCCAAAGAAAAUCUGUUGUUUAGAGAUGAGCUGUAGAGUCAAGACUCUCUUUGUGCAGCUACUUUGAAAUACACAGGCAUCUUCUUCACUUCUGUGGGUUCUGUGAG
Zonotrichia leucophrys gambelii is the source of this 632-nucleotide long non-coding RNA. RefSeq lists it as uncharacterized. The transcript has 4 exons. NCBI's taxonomy places the organism in Eukaryota, Metazoa, Chordata, Aves, Passeriformes, Passerellidae. The record is from RefSeq and is a predicted model, not a curated record.